AAGGACUUAGGCUAACAUAAGACCAAGGGCCUUCAAAGCCCUAAGUAGGGGUGGAAAUCCCCUAGUCCUUG
Molecule: transfer RNA, 71 nt
Filed under: Arctoscopus japonicus (sailfin sandfish)
Lineage: Eukaryota; Metazoa; Chordata; Actinopteri; Perciformes; Trichodontidae
Description: tRNA-Trp
Rfam family: tRNA
About the family: Transfer RNA (tRNA) molecules are approximately 80 nucleotides in length. Their secondary structure includes four short double-helical elements and three loops (D, anti-codon, and T loops). Further hydrogen bonds mediate the characteristic L-shaped molecular structure. tRNAs have two regions of fundamental functional importance: the anti-codon, which is responsible for specific mRNA codon recognition, and the 3' end, to which the tRNAs corresponding amino acid is attached (by aminoacyl-tRNA synthetases). tRNAs cope with the degeneracy of the genetic code in two manners: having more than one tRNA (with a specific anti-codon) for a particular amino acid; and 'wobble' base-pairing, i.e. permitting non-standard base-pairing at the 3rd anti-codon position.
Source: RNAcentral